Molecule: ribosomal RNA, 207 nt
Filed under: uncultured bacterium
Lineage: Bacteria
Description: partial 16S ribosomal RNA
Rfam family: Bacterial small subunit ribosomal RNA
Source: RNAcentral
CGCGUAGGCGGACUUUCAAGUCGGGUGUGAAAACCGGCGGCUCAACUGCCGGCCUGCACUCGAUACUGUUGGUCUUGAGUACAUGAGAGGAAGGCGGAAUUCCAGGUGUAGCGGUGAAAUGCGUAGAUAUCUGGAAGAACACCAGUAGCGAAGGCGGCCUUCUGGCGUGAUACUGACGCUGAAGCGCGAAGGCUAGGGGAGCAAACA